This 484-nucleotide ribosomal RNA is filed under the name uncultured bacterium. Its description in RNAcentral is "partial 16S ribosomal RNA". It matches the Rfam family "Bacterial small subunit ribosomal RNA", at positions 30 to 507 of the family's 1533-position model. The record is from RNAcentral.
AUUGAACGCUGGCGGCAUGCUUUACACAUGCCAGUCGAACGGCAGCGCGGGCUUCGGCCUGGCGGCGAGUGGCGAACGGGUGAGUAAUACAUCGGAACGUGCCCAGUAGUGGGGGAUAGCUCGGCGAAAGCCGGAUUAAUACCGCAUACGACCUGAGGGUGAAAGCGGGGGAUCUUUGGACCUCGCGCUAUUGGAGCGGCCGAUGGCAGAUUAGCUAGUUGGUGGGGUAAAGGCCUACCAAGGCGACGAUCUGUAGCUGGUCUGAGAGGACGACCAGCCACACUGGAACUGACACACGGCCCAGACUCCUACGGGAGGCAGCAGUGGGGAAUUUUGGACAAUGGGCGAAAGCCUGAUCCAGCAAUGCCGCGUGUGUGAUGAAGGCCUUCGGGUUGUAAAGCACUUUUGGCGGGAACGAAAAGGACUGUGCCAAUACCACGGUUCGAUGACGGUACCCGCAGAAUAAGCACCGGCUAACUACGUG